AUUAACAAAACUUAGUACGAGAAUUCUGAGUUUUCGAAGGGUUGCUGAUUGGAUCACUAGCUUAGUGCUAAAGAAUUGAGGUAAAUUAUAGGGUUUUGGGUCCAUAAUUGAAGGGAACUAUACUGUUUCUUAUUUAGAGACUGGGGACUGUGAGGUUGGAAUAUCAUGGGUUGCAUUUGCUCCAAAGGAAGUUCUGUACAUGAGCAUAUCAUGGGCUGCAUUAACACUCCAUUUGUCUGAUAGACUUUUGUUUCUCUUUUCAGGUUCGACAUGGUCCUGGUUUUUACGACUGCAGCUUGACAAUGGAACAUGGUGAAAAUAGUCAUGAUAAAGUAGUGGUUGUCCAAUUAUUAACGUACAUCCUCAUAACCCUAUUCUUCUUAUAAAAUCUAGAUUUUUCUAGGCUGAAAGCAUGAUUGUGAUCAAGGGUUAUUUGUGAGACUCGCCAUUUACCAUCAAGGCAUAAUACAAUCCUAAUCUUAGCUUUACAUCCUGUUUUACUGUUUGGAGGCUUUUUUAAGACAUUCUUUGAAUUGCUUACUGUUUGUAUGGUUCGAGAGCAUGAAAGAACCACACAAUUAACCUCCCCAUCAUCACCCUUUUCCGAAGAUCUUUUCUUCAUUGGGAACCCUUGUUUGUUAGCAUAUUUAAUGUAAUAUUCAACACAAGCAUCAAUAUUGUCAAAUUUCAUUCCUAUUUCUGGAUCUUUUAUCUCAUCUACAGCUACUGUACUCUUCACACACUCAUCAAAUUCUGAAUUAUCAUUCAUAUCAUUCUCCUCAAUAUGUUCAUUCAUCUCUGUACUUAAAGAUAUAUUUAAUGAUUUUGUUUCUAUUUGUGCCCAAAAAAACCUGUACAGAAAAAAAAAACAAAAAACUUAAUCCAAAAUUAGGGAUUUUUCUCUGUAAUAUUUUUUUGAACCAUGUAUGGAGAGGGUAAGAUGAUAUCAAUUAAAAGAGAGAAUGUUUUUUGUUUGAACUCUGUUUUUCGAUAUCAAUUAAUCUAUUUGUGCACAAAAUUAAACCAAGAUGAUUAAAUCUCAAGAGGAAAAAAGUGUUACCUGAGAUAGAGAUUGUCGAACAUGAGAUGGUAAACGGAAUGCUCGAGAUCGCUAUGAUAGAGAGGAAAGAUUAAUUUUCGUAGUAGAUAUUUAGGAUGAGCAGAUGAUUAUAUUUCGCAUAACUAUUUUGACGGGAUGGAACCUGUCUCUGUUUGAUGUUAUUCAUCCAUACUUGUUUCUUUCUUUUGAUAACUGUAGCCUGUAGGAUGGCUUUUUAAUCUUUUUCUUAUCUUUGGGGACCCACGGUCUAAUAUGUUUGUCUAAUAUGCCAUGUUUUAGUGCAGUGUAUCUAACCAACAGUCAGGAGUCAGGCGGUCAGCAGUCAAAUUUCAAAGUAAA
RNAcentral lists this long non-coding RNA (1399 nucleotides) under Panax ginseng (ginseng). RNAcentral describes it as "long non-coding RNA (PGIN_LNC005653)". Lineage: Eukaryota; Viridiplantae; Streptophyta; Magnoliopsida; Apiales; Araliaceae. The record is from RNAcentral.